RNAcentral lists this ribosomal RNA (253 nucleotides) under uncultured bacterium. RNAcentral's name for it is "partial 16S ribosomal RNA". It matches the Rfam family "Bacterial small subunit ribosomal RNA", at positions 524 to 776 of the family's 1533-position model. The record is from RNAcentral.
UACAGAGGUGGCAAGCGUUGUUCGGAAUUACUGGGCGUAAAGGGCGCGUAGGCGGUCUUGUAAGUCUUGUGUGAAAUCCCUCGGCUUAACUGAGGAACUGCACGGGAUACGGCGAGACUUGAGAUCGGGAGAGGGAAGCGGAAUUCCGGGUGUAGCGGUGAAAUGCGUAGAUAUCCGGAGGAACACCGGUGGCGAAGGCGGCUUCCUGGACCGACACUGACGCUGAGGCGCGAAAGCUAGGGGAGCAAACGGG